CUUCGUUUUUGUCCGCGAAGUAGACACAACACUCUCAAUGUUGGGAUUCAGGGUUCGAGCCCCUGAGGGGGGG
RNAcentral lists this transfer RNA (73 nucleotides) under Alistipes finegoldii. RNAcentral's name for it is "tRNA-Glu(ctc)". RNAcentral also lists the same sequence under 1 other name. The record is from RNAcentral. Lineage: Bacteria; Pseudomonadati; Bacteroidota; Bacteroidia; Bacteroidales; Rikenellaceae.